UCUAUUGUGGAUUCAGGUUCUGAUAAGA
This 28-nucleotide non-coding RNA is filed under the name Mus musculus (house mouse). Lineage: Eukaryota; Metazoa; Chordata; Mammalia; Rodentia; Muridae. The record is from RNAcentral.